This 305-nucleotide ribosomal RNA is filed under the name uncultured bacterium. RNAcentral describes it as "bacterial SSU rRNA". It matches the Rfam family "Bacterial small subunit ribosomal RNA", at positions 336 to 638 of the family's 1533-position model. The record is from RNAcentral.
CGCCUACGGGAGGCAGCAGUGAGGAAUAUUGGUCAAUGGCCGGAAGGCUGAACCAGCCAAGUCGCGUGAGGGACGACUGCCCUAUGGGUUGUAAACCUCUUUUAUAAGGGAAGAAUAAAUGCUACGUGUAGCAUGAUGCCUGUACCUUAUGAAUAAGCAUCGGCUAACUCCGUGCCAGCAGCCGCGGUAAUACGGAAGGUCCGGGCGUUAUCCGGAUUUAUUGGGUUUAAAGGGAGCGUAGGCCGGCUUUUAAGUCAGCUGUGAAAGUCCGCGGCUCAACCGUGGAAUUGUAGUUGAAACUGGAG